UGUAUCCUGCUACUUUGCCAAAAGCAUUUAUGAAACAUAAGUUUUUAUGUGGAGUCUUUAGAGUCUUUUAGGUAUAGGAUUAUAUCAUGUGCACAUGGGGAUAAUUUGACUAGAUUUUUCCUAUUUGUAUCCCUUUUAUUUCUUUCUCAUGCCUUAUUGCUCUGGCUAAGAAUUCUAGCAUUGGACUGAAUAAAAGUGGGAAGGGUGGCACCCUUGUCUCAUUCUUUCCCAUUUUGUACAAUGUUGGCUCCAAGUUUAUUGUAUAUAGUCUUUAUUAUGUUGAGGUACAUUUCUUCUAUUCCUAAUUUCUUCAGCUAUGCCAGUACUUUCUUUGCAUGCUAUAAUUUUAAAAAGAUAAUGCCAUAUAUGGAAUAAUUGGAAUUAAUAUUUGUUGAAUGUGUUCUAUAUGAAAGACACUGUGUGACAUGUAUGUAUGAGGUAGGUAUCUCUGAUUAAAAAAAAAGCAAAAAUGAGAGAGACUAACUGACAUGCCAAGGAUCACUAUAACUAGUACUAGGCUGACCUUCCAUUCAAAUCUCAUGCCCCCAAAGUCUGUUCCUUCCAUUAACUUCAUUGUAAUAAUUAAGAUUUUGAUAAAAUAUUAAAACUUAGACUGGGUAUGGUGGCACAUGCCUAUAAUUCCAGUGACAUAGGAGGGGAGAUGGGUACGAGAGGAUCACAAGUUCGAGUCCAGCCCAGACAAAGAUACUAUUACCUUAUCUCAGAAACAAAAUCCAAACAAAAGUUCUGGAGGGGCUAUGGCUCAAGUGGCAAAGUGCUUGCCUUAUCCUAUGCAAGGCUCUGGGUUCAAUCCCCAGUGCUACAAAAAAAAAAAGAUGUUAUAGCUUUGGUAUAGGGUAUAACUUUUUUAAACUAGUACCUCUUUAGGCAUUUUGGCAAGUAUUAUAUACAGCAAAAUUCUAGAAGAAACAUCUUUGUAAAUAAAAACUAACACAACCACAUUCAAAGAAAAUCAGCAUUGUACAUACUUUAAUGAAACAGACUGAAAAUCACUUAACAUUCUUCAUGACCUUAUAGAUCGUAAGAAAGAUCUGGUGAAGUUACAAGCAGGAGAAUAUGUUUCUCUUGGGAAAGUAGAAGCAGCCCUGAAGAAUUGUCCACUUAUUGACAACAUCUGUGCUUUUGCCAAAAGUGACCAGUCCUAUGUAAUCAGUUUUGUGGUUCCUAAUCAGAAAAGGUUGACACUUUUGGCACAACAGAAGGGGGUAGAAGGAACUUGGGUUGACAUCUGCAACAAUCCUGCCAUGGAAGCAGAAAUACUGAAAGAAAUUCGAGAAGCUGCAAAUGCUAUGAAACUAGAGCGAUUUGAAAUUCCAAUUAAGGUUCGCUUAAGCCCAGAGCCAUGGACCCCUGAAACUGGUUUGGUAACUGAUGCUUUCAAACUGAAAAGGAAGGAACUGAGGAACCAUUACCUCAAGGAUAUUGAGCGAAUGUAUGGGGGCAAAUAAAAUGUCACUCUCUUAUUUCCGGUGAUGUAGGAAGUGAUCUGGUGGUUUUUCAAUUCUAGAGUUUAAGCCUUUGUUGAACUGUCUGUUAGAAUGUAAGGUAUAUCAUUCUAAAGACAUGGUAAUUAAAAAAAAAAAACAAAACUGAUUAAAAUAGUUGUCAAGUCUACUUUAACUUAGUUUUUGUAUAGUUCUAGUGAAGCUGAUAUCAAAGUUUUUUCCCUUUAGAUGUGUUCUUAAUUUUAGAGCAGAAAUUCUGUUUUUAAAAAAUUAGCCUAAGAUACAAUUGUUUUCAUAAAGAAGAAUAUUUAAUGUUGAACAAAAUAAAAUGGAGUUGGAGUAGAAUGUAGUUUGAGGAAAUUUGCAGCUUCCAGUGUCUAUUGUCUUCCUAGUUCAGAAGUUUAAAUAGUGAGCAUGACGAAAAUAUGUAGUAACACUACUCAAAGCAAAGUGCUGUGAGGCUUUAAAAUUCUCUUCCAACCUUUUAUCCUGAAGGGAAAAAUCAGUUAUAAUCUAAUUUACAAAGUCAAAUAAUACCUCAGGAGGUAUUAUUUUAAGACCAUAAUUCUUGCAUAGGUUACACAUAGAAUCACUAUAAUAUUGUGAAUAAUUACAGUUCCUAAACUAAGAAUAAGACAACAUAUACAUACCAAAAAUAUCUAGUAAUAUGAUUGGAAAGGAAAUUUAACUACUCCUUUGACACAUUGAGAUCUAAAAUCAGUAGCUGUAAUUAUUUGGAUUACUUAAGAAGAAAGUACAUUUUUUAAAUGGUGAAAAAUGCCUUUCUGUGUUUGUUCAAAGUGAAAGACUGAGACCAAGAGGAAAAUGAUAGAAAGUCAGUCAAAAUUAAACAGGAAGCAUUUUCUGUAUUAGAAAAGCUGAAGAAAUCAUAAGUGUUUGGAAUGGUGGCCCUUGCACAGCCCUGAACCUGGGAAAGAGAUUUAGUCUCUGAAUUUAUUGUUGAUAACAAGCAUUGAUUUUUAAAUGUACUCAUAUUAAAUUACAUUUGUAAUUUAUGGUCUGUUUGCUGUUGCUGAUUUGAUUCUUGAUCAGUAGUUUGCAUUCCAGAAAGCCUUUCAUUUUGCUUUAAUUUUAGCAAAGCGGGUUAUGACAAGUAACUUCUCCAAAAUCUUGUUCAGACCUACUACGGGUGGCUUAUUAUCUUGGAUGAGUUUUGGGAAAUUAAAGAGAAGAAAACACUGUUACCACUUUCUUCCUGUUUGUGAAGAAUUUAGAAACUGGAAAUACUAGAUUUGGGAGAAGGGCAGAGUUACUGGGUAAGGGACUGAUAUGUGCUCAGUAACUUGGAGUGUGGGUUUCUUUUUAAAUCUUUAAUUAAAGGCUGGGAUUAUAUGUCCCUGAUAGAUAUUCACACUUGAACCAUAGUUACUGUAAAAAGCAAAAGUUCUUAAUACUGUUAUUCUUUGCACUUUUUCUUAAUCAUUAUAUAUAUAUAUAUACAUUUUAUAUGUGUGUGUGUGUGUGUGUUGCUUACAUUGCAUUGUACGGGUGUGGGCCACCACUACAAGAUAAAUUCCUUUCGCUCUCAAAUAUUUAUAAAGAGAAUAUUUAAAUGUUAUGUAUAUGGUGGUAAUGAGGAAAAAUCAUCUGGUAAUAUAAGCAAGAAUGAAGGUUUUUGUAAAGAUUUCUGUGCAGUGUUCUGCAAAGUAAAAUUCUAGACAAAUUUUCCUUGAAGUUAUGUCUGAGUAUUCUCAUUCUUCCCAACUUGCCUUUGAAGAGUGAAAAACCAUUAUCAAGUAGACUACUAUUCAGCUUCUAUUAUUCCUGGCUGCUGUUUAUCCUUUAAGGGUGAUUUUCUUAGACUUUUCCAAUAUGUGGUCCUCCAUUUGGAAUGGUGAUUUUAACAUAUGAGUGCAUGCAUACCAUUUUAUCUCAGAUGUUUGCAACCCCACCCCCAUCUCCCAAAAGCUGGAACACUGCCAACUGAUCUGUUGAAGAGGUCCUUUCAAAAUGUAUCAUUAAUGCUGACGGUUGGGUGCUGCUAAUUCUUUGCAAAAAUCCAAAUAUUGUUAAGGGACCAGGGAGAUGCCACUACCCCCUGAUUUUUCAUCCAAAAAAUACAUGUUUAUGAAAACAGAUAUCUUUCCAUAUUCAUAGUGACUUUUUAAGUAUUUGAGCCUAAAGAUUUCGAUCUCACACUUUUAUACCUGUUUAAAUCGUUCACAGUUAUUAUUACAUGUCAGCCAUCAAAUAAAGUUGUAUUUGAUAAAUUUACUACAAGUAUGUACAUUUCUAAGUCAAACACUUGUGACUUUUGCUUUAAUCAUAUGAAAGUAUCUUGCCUCCUUGAUAUUUGUAUUCAUUUGUUUCCUAGAGUGGAUGUAUAAUUAAUUGUGUGACUUUUUAGAACUGAAAUACAGGUGAAUGAUUCAAAAAGUCAGAAACAAAGGGGAGUUGUGCGUGUUUGAUCUCAGAGACUGGUUAGUAAUCCUUGCCUAUGCUUUCCUGAUAGCAUAUGACAAAUGUUUCUAAAGUAAGAAGAUAAGAAUGGGUUAAAGAUUGUGUGGCGUUUGGGAUUUGGAAAGAAAUAUUUUAAUUUUUUGAAUGUAAUAAAAAAUUAUGUAUUCAUAUUUGUACUUUCUGUUAAAAUGCACGAUUGCAGGAAUGUUAUUUAGAUUUUGUCUUUACUCUUGAUGAAAAGCUUUGUCCUUGUUUUUAAGUUUGCACUCAAAUCAUAUGAAAUAAAUUCACCCAUGUUAUCAAUCCAA
Non-coding RNA from Castor canadensis (American beaver), 4195 nucleotides. The record is from RefSeq and is a predicted model, not a curated record. NCBI's taxonomy places the organism in Eukaryota, Metazoa, Chordata, Mammalia, Rodentia, Castoridae.